RNAcentral lists this long non-coding RNA (226 nucleotides) under Citrus sinensis (sweet orange). RNAcentral describes it as "long non-coding RNA (CSIN_LNC000011)". Lineage: Eukaryota; Viridiplantae; Streptophyta; Magnoliopsida; Sapindales; Rutaceae. The record is from RNAcentral.
GUGGAUGCAGCAUUUUUUGGUUAAUUUUGAUGAACAAGUACGAAUGACUGUAUCUGCCUCGAUCGAUCAAGAAGGAAGGGUGAAAAAUCUACGAUCGGUCUCUGUCAAAUCAACUUUGUACAUACGUAUAUGAGUAUAGUAGUGGACAAAGAAGAAAAGGACAAAGGAAUCAAACAAAUUAAAAUGCCAUUGACGGAUUCCAAACAUCUAAAGGGGUUCAUGUUCG